GAUGAAGAACGUAGCGAAAUGCGAUAAGUAAUGUGAACUGCAGAAUUCAGUGAAUCAUCGAGUCUUUGAACGCACAUUGCGCCCCCUGGUAUUCCGGGGGGCAUGCCUGUCCGAGCGUCAUUGCCGCCCUCAAGCACGGCUUGUGUGUUGGGCCCCCGCCCCCCGGCUUCGGGGGGCGGGCCCGAAAGGCAGCGGCGGCACCGCGUCCGGUCCUCGAGCGUAUGGGGCUUCGUCACCCGCUCUGUAGGCCCGGCCGGCGCCCGCCGGCGACCCCAAUCAAUCUUUCCAGGUUGACCUCGGAUCAGGUAGGGAUACCCGCUGAACUUAAGCAUAUCAAUAAGCGGAGGA
This 348-nucleotide unclassified non-coding RNA is filed under the name soil metagenome. Its description in RNAcentral is "partial contains 5.8S ribosomal RNA, internal transcribed spacer 2, and large subunit ribosomal RNA". The stretch from base 1 to 120 matches the Rfam family "5.8S ribosomal RNA", at positions 35 to 154 of the family's 154-position model. The record is from RNAcentral.